CAGUAGCCGCGGUAAUACAGAGGGUGCGAGCGUUAAUCGGAUUUACUGGGCGUAAAGCGUGCGUAGGCGGCUUCUUAAGUCGGAUGUGAAAUCCCUGAGCUUAACUUAGGAAUUGCAUUCGAUACUGGGAAGCUAGAGUAUGGGAGAGGAUGGUAGAAUUCCAGGUGUAGCGGUGAAAUGCGUAGAGAUCUGGAGGAAUACCGAUGGCGAAGGCAGCCAUCUGGCCUAAUACUGACGCUGAGGUACGAAAGCGUGGGGAGCAAACAGGAUUAGAUACCCCUGUAGUCCCUGUCUCUUAUAA
RNAcentral lists this ribosomal RNA (301 nucleotides) under uncultured bacterium. RNAcentral's name for it is "partial 16S ribosomal RNA". It matches the Rfam family "Bacterial small subunit ribosomal RNA", at positions 509 to 809 of the family's 1533-position model. The record is from RNAcentral.